UACGAAGGGGGCUAGCGUUGUUCGGAUUUACUGGGCGUAAAGCGCGCGUAGGUGGUUCGUUAAGUUGGAUGUGAAAUCCCCGGGCUCAACCUGGGAACUGCAUCCAAAACUGGCGAGCUAGAGUAGGGCAGAGGGUGGUGGAAUUUCCUGUGUAGCGGUGAAAUGCGUAGAUAUAGGAAGGAACACCAGUGGCGAAGGCGACCACCUGGGCUCAUACUGACACUGAGGUGCGAAAGCGUGGGGAGCAAACAGGAUUAGAACCGUAC
RNAcentral lists this ribosomal RNA (266 nucleotides) under uncultured bacterium. RNAcentral describes it as "partial 16S ribosomal RNA". It matches the Rfam family "Bacterial small subunit ribosomal RNA", at positions 524 to 785 of the family's 1533-position model. The record is from RNAcentral.